Long non-coding RNA from Pistacia vera, 319 nucleotides. RefSeq lists it as uncharacterized. The record is from RefSeq and is a predicted model, not a curated record. NCBI's taxonomy places the organism in Eukaryota, Viridiplantae, Streptophyta, Magnoliopsida, Sapindales, Anacardiaceae. The transcript is spliced from 3 exons.
GGACUCGGUCGUGGAAGCCUUGCUUCGUGAUCCAAACAGGAAAUUUGUUUUUGCUGAGAUGGCAUUUUUCCAACGAUGGUGGGUAGAACAAAGUCCAGAAAUACAAGAACAAGUGAGAAAACUUGUAGAUGGCGGCCGAUUGGAAUUCGUAAACGGUGGUUGGUGUAUGCAUGAUGAAGCAACAACCCAUUACAUAGAUAUGAUUGACCAAACAACACUCGGUCAUCGUUUGAUAAAAGAGCAGUUUAACCACACUCCUCGGGCUGGAUGGCAAAUCGAUCCGUUUGGACAUUCUGCCGUACAAGCUUACCUACUUGGA